UACGUAUGGUGCAAGCGUUAUCCGGAUUUACUGGGCGUAAAGGGAGCGCAGGCGGCGCGCCAAGUCUGAUGUGAAACCCCGGGGCUCAACCCCGGGCAUGCACUGGAAACUGGCGGGCUGGAGUGCCGGAGAGGUAAGCGGAAUUCCUAGUGUAGCGGUGAAAUGCGUAGAUAUUAGGAGGAACACCAGUGGCGAAGGCGGCUUACUGGACGGCAACUGACGCUGAGGCUCGAAAGCGUGGGGAGCAAACAGG
This 253-nucleotide ribosomal RNA is filed under the name uncultured bacterium. Its description in RNAcentral is "partial 16S ribosomal RNA". It matches the Rfam family "Bacterial small subunit ribosomal RNA", at positions 524 to 776 of the family's 1533-position model. The record is from RNAcentral.